GUGCUAAUCUGCGAUAAGCGUCGGUGAGGUGAUAUGAACCGUUAUAACCGGCGAUUUCCGAAUGGGGAAACCCAGUGUGUUUCGACACACUAUCAUUAACUGAAUCCAUAGGUUAAUGAGGCGAACCGGGGGAACUGAAACAUCUAAGUACCCCGAGGAAAAGAAAUCAACCGAGAUUCCCCCAGUAGCGGCGAGCGAACGGGGAGGAGCCCAGAGCCUGAAUCAGUGUGUGUGUUAGUGGAAGCGUCUGGAAAGGCGCGCGAUACAGGGUGACAGCCCCGUACACAAAAAUGCACAUGCUGUGAGCUCGAUGAGUAGGGCGGGACACGUGGUAUCCUGUCUGAAUAUGGGGGGACCAUCCUCCAAGGCUAAAUACUCCUGACUGACCGAUAGUGAACCAGUACCGUGAGGGAAAGGCGAAAAGAACCCCGGCGAGGGGAGUGAAAAAGAACCUGAAACCGUGUACGUACAAGCAGUGGGAGCCUCUUAAUGGGGUGACUGCGUACCUUUUGUAUAAUGGGUCAGCGACUUAUAUUCUGUAGCAAGGUUAACCGAAUAGGGGAGCCGAAGGGAAACCGAGUCUUAACUGGGCGUUAAGUUGCAGGGUAUAGACCCGAAACCCGGUGAUCUAGCCAUGGGCAGGUUGAAGGUUGGGUAACACUAACUGGAGGACCGAACCGACUAAUGUUGAAAAAUUAGCGGAUGACUUGUGGCUGGGGGUGAAAGGCCAAUCAAACCGGGAGAUAGCUGGUUCUCCCCGAAAGCUAUUUAGGUAGCGCCUCGUGAAUUCAUCUCCGGGGGUAGAGCACUGUUUCGGCAAGGGGGUCAUCCCGACUUACCAACCCGAUGCAAACUGCGAAUACCGGAGAAUGUUAUCACGGGAGACACACGGCGGGUGCUAACGUCCGUCGUGAAGAGGGAAACAACCCAGACCGCCAGCUAAGGUCCCAAAGUCAUGGUUAAGUGGGAAACGAUGUGGGAAGGCCCAGACAGCCAGGAUGUUGGCUUAGAAGCAGCCAUCAUUUAAAGAAAGCGUAAUAGCUCACUGGUCGAGUCGGCCUGCGCGGAAGAUGUAACGGGGCUAAACCAUGCACCGAAGCUGCGGCAGCGACACUAUGUGUUGUUGGGUAGGGGAGCGUUCUGUAAGCCUGUGAAGGUGGCCUGUGAGGGUUGCUGGAGGUAUCAGAAGUGCGAAUGCUGACAUAAGUAACGAUAAAGCGGGUGAAAAGCCCGCUCGCCGGAAGACCAAGGGUUCCUGUCCAACGUUAAUCGGGGCAGGGUGAGUCGACCCCUAAGGCGAGGCCGAAAGGCGUAGUCGAUGGGAAACAGGUUAAUAUUCCUGUACUUGGUGUUACUGCGAAGGGGGGACGGAGAAGGCUAUGUUGGCCGGGCGACGGUUGUCCCGGUUUAAGCGUGUAGGCUGGUUUUCCAGGCAAAUCCGGAAAACCAAGGCUGAGGCGUGAUGACGAGGCACUACGGUGCUGAAGUGACAAAUGCCCUGCUUCCAGGAAAAGCCUCUAAGCAUCAGGUAACAUCAAAUCGUACCCCAAACCGACACAGGUGGUCAGGUAGAGAAUACCAAGGCGCUUGAGAGAACUCGGGUGAAGGAACUAGGCAAAAUGGUGCCGUAACUUCGGGAGAAGGCACGCUGAUAUGUAGGUGAAGCGACUUGCUCGUGGAGCUGAAAUCAGUCGAAGAUACCAGCUGGCUGCAACUGUUUAUUAAAAACACAGCACUGUGCAAACACGAAAGUGGACGUAUACGGUGUGACGCCUGCCCGGUGCCGGAAGGUUAAUUGAUGGGGUUAGCGGUAACGCGAAGCUCUUGAUCGAAGCCCCGGUAAACGGCGGCCGUAACUAUAACGGUCCUAAGGUAGCGAAAUUCCUUGUCGGGUAAGUUCCGACCUGCACGAAUGGCGUAAUGAUGGCCAGGCUGUCUCCACCCGAGACUCAGUGAAAUUGAACUCGCUGUGAAGAUGCAGUGUACCCGCGGCAAGACGGAAAGACCCCGUGAACCUUUACUAUAGCUUGACACUGAACAUUGAGCCUUGAUGUGUAGGAUAGGUGGGAGGCUUUGAAGUGUGGACGCCAGUCUGCAUGGAGCCGACCUUGAAAUACCACCCUUUAAUGUUUGAUGUUCUAACGUUGGCCCCUAAUCGGGGUUGCGGACAGUGUCUGGUGGGUAGUUUGACUGGGGCGGUCUCCUCCUAAAGAGUAACGGAGGAGCACGAAGGUUGGCUAAUCCUGGUCGGACAUCAGGAGGUUAGUGCAAUGGCAUAAGCCAGCUUGACUGCGAGCGUGACGGCGCGAGCAGGUGCGAAAGCAGGUCAUAGUGAUCCGGUGGUUCUGAAUGGAAGGGCCAUCGCUCAACGGAUAAAAGGUACUCCGGGGAUAACAGGCUGAUACCGCCCAAGAGUUCAUAUCGACGGCGGUGUUUGGCACCUCGAUGUCGGCUCAUCACAUCCUGGGGCUGAAGUAGGUCCCAAGGGUAUGGCUGUUCGCCAUUUAAAGUGGUACGCGAGCUGGGUUUAGAACGUCGUGAGACAGUUCGGUCCCUAUCUGCCGUGGGCGCUGGAGAACUGAGGGGGGCUGCUCCUAGUACGAGAGGACCGGAGUGGACGCAUCACUGGUGUUCGGGUUGUCAUGCCAAUGGCACUGCCCGGUAGCUAAAUGCGGAAGAGAUAAGUGCUGAAAGCAUCUAAGCACGAAACUUGCCCCGAGAUGAGUUCUCCCUGAGACUUAGAGUCUCCUGAAGGAACGUUGAAGACGACGACGUUGAUAGGCCGGGUGUGUAAGCGCAGCGAUGCGUUGAGCUAACCGGUACUAAUGAACCGUGAGGCUUAACCUU
Molecule: ribosomal RNA, 2847 nt
Filed under: Escherichia coli
Lineage: Bacteria; Pseudomonadati; Pseudomonadota; Gammaproteobacteria; Enterobacterales; Enterobacteriaceae
Description: partial 23S ribosomal RNA
Rfam family: Bacterial large subunit ribosomal RNA
Source: RNAcentral